Molecule: ribosomal RNA, 441 nt
Filed under: uncultured bacterium
Lineage: Bacteria
Description: partial 16S ribosomal RNA
Rfam family: Bacterial small subunit ribosomal RNA
Source: RNAcentral
CUACGGGAGGCAGCAGUGGGGAAUAUUGCCCAAUGGACGAAAGUCUGAGGCAGCAACGCCGCGUGUGCGAAGAAGGCCUUCGGGUUGUAAAGCACUUUUGGCGGGGAAGAGGAAGGACAGUACCCGCAGAAUAAGCUUCGGCUAACUACGUGCCAGCAGCCGCGGUAACACGUAGGAAGCGAGCGUUAUCCGGGAUUUACUGGGCGUAAAGCGCGUGCAGGUGGUAACGUAAGUUGGAUGUGAAAGCUCCUGGCUUAACUGGGAGAGGUCGUUCAAAACUGCGUAACUAGAGUACGAUAGAGGGAGGUAGAAUUCCGAGUGUAGUGGUGAAAUGCGUAGAUAUUCGGAGGAAUACCAGAGGCGAAGGCGGCCUCCUGGAUCGUAACUGACACUGAGACGCGAAAGCUAGGGUAGCAAACGGGAUUAGAUACCCUUGUAGUC